RNAcentral lists this ribosomal RNA (229 nucleotides) under uncultured bacterium. RNAcentral's name for it is "partial 16S ribosomal RNA". It matches the Rfam family "Bacterial small subunit ribosomal RNA", at positions 568 to 796 of the family's 1533-position model. The record is from RNAcentral.
UACGUAGGUGGAUAAUUAAGUCAGAGGUGAAAUCCUGCAGCUCAACUGUAGAAUUGCCUUUGAUACUGGUUAUCUUGAGUCAUUAUGAAGUGGUUAGAAUGUGUAGUGUAGCGGUGAAAUGCAUAGAUAUUACACAGAAUACCGAUCGCGAAGGCAGAUCACUAAUAAUGUACUGACACUGAGGGACGAAAGCGUGGGGAGCGAACAGGAUUAGAUACCCUGGUAGUCC